Molecule: ribosomal RNA, 253 nt
Filed under: uncultured bacterium
Lineage: Bacteria
Description: partial 16S ribosomal RNA
Rfam family: Bacterial small subunit ribosomal RNA
Source: RNAcentral
UACGGAGGGGGCAAGCGUUAUUCGGAAUCAUUGGGCGUAAAGGGCGCGUAGGCGGCUUGGCAAGUCAAAGGUGAAAUCCCUCGGCCUAACCGAGGAACUGCCUUUGAAACUGCUUGGCUUGAGGCCGGGAGAGGGUAGCGGAAUUCCCAGUGUAGCGGUGAAAUGCGCAGAUAUCAGGAGGAACACCGGUGGCGAAGGCGGGUCUCUGGGCCAUUACUGACGCUGAGGAGCGAAAGCGUGGGGAGCGAACAGG